This 253-nucleotide ribosomal RNA is filed under the name uncultured bacterium. RNAcentral's name for it is "partial 16S ribosomal RNA". It matches the Rfam family "Bacterial small subunit ribosomal RNA", at positions 524 to 776 of the family's 1533-position model. The record is from RNAcentral.
UACGUAGGGUGCUAGCGUUGUCCGGAAUCAUUGGGCGUAAAGCGCGUGUAGGCGGUUCGGUAAGUCCGCUGUGAAAGUCGGGGGCUCAACCCUCGGAAGCCGGUGGAUACUGUCGGGCUAGAGUACGGAAGAGGCGAGUGGAAUUCCUGGUGUAGCGGUGAAAUGCGCAGAUAUCAGGAGGAACACCAAUUGCGAAGGCAGCUCGCUGGGACGUUACUGACGCUGAGACGCGAAAGCGUGGGGAGCAAACAGG